UAAGAAAGGGAAGCAACCUGAAAGUAGAAGUGAGGCUGUCAAGAAUAGCAGAUUUCCACUUUGUCCAACUUGUAAAAAAACAAAUCAUCUGGAGAAGGAUUGUUGGCGGAAGAAUGGCAUAAAACCCAUCCAAUAUCACUAUUGCAAAAAAUAUGGCCACAUUUCAAGAGAUUGCAGAAUCAAGCAAAGUAAAGCUCAAAAACAACAACAGGGCCAGCAAGCAAAUUUUACUGAUGAUCAACCAAAGCAGCAAGAAGAUCAUUUGUUCAUGGUUUCUCAAUCAUGUAGAGCUAUUGACAAGUUUAUUUGGUUCAUUGAUAGUCGCUGUACAAGUCACAUGGCUAGAGAUGAAAGCUUAUUUACCUUCUUAGACAGAUCAGUGAAAGCAAGUGUGAAGAUGGGAAAUGGAGAGAUGGUUCAGGCUAUGGGCAAGGGUACUGUUGCUAUGCAAACAAAGAAAGGUACUAAGCAUAUUUCUGAUGUUCUCUACAUUCCUAGCUUAGAUCAAAAUUUAUUGAGUGUUGCUCAGAUGAUGAAAAAAGGUUAUUCUUUGUCUUUCAAAGAUUGUUGGUGUCGUAUUUAUGAUUCCAAUAAUUCUAAAGUAAUGGAGGUUAAAAUGGUUGAUAAUAGCUUUCCUCUAAUGUCUGGCAAUGGUACUGAUCAUGUAUUUACAGCUGCAUCAAAUGAUUCUUGGCUAUGGCACAAAAGACAUGGGCAUUAUAACUUGAAUUCUUUGAAGUUUAUGCAAUCUCAUGAUAUGAUUAAAGACAUGCCUGUUAUUUCUAAUUGUGAUGAGGUAUGUUCUAGUUGUCAAUUUGGAAAAUUGCAAAAACAAUCAUUUCCUAAGAAUCAAGUUAGGGGAGCUACUGAGAAAUUAGAAAUUGUACACACUGAUGUAUGUGGCUUUAUGAGUGUGCUUUCUUUGAGCCAAAAUAAGUACUUUGUGUUGUUUAUAUAUGACUUGACUAGAAUGACUUGGGUGUAUUUUCUAAGUAGCAAGGGUCAAGUUUUUAGUGUUUUUAAGAAAUUUAAAGCUUUGGUCGAGAAUCAAAGUGGCUAUGUUAUUAAAAAUUUGAGGUCUGAUAAUGGGAAGGAG
Molecule: unclassified non-coding RNA, 1096 nt
Filed under: Hevea brasiliensis (rubber tree)
Lineage: Eukaryota; Viridiplantae; Streptophyta; Magnoliopsida; Malpighiales; Euphorbiaceae
Source: RNAcentral